CACUGUAGAGCUAGCCUAGCAUUAACCUUUUAAGUUAAAGACUGAGAGGACUUCCUCUCUACAGUGA
Molecule: transfer RNA, 67 nt
Filed under: Saguinus oedipus (cotton-top tamarin)
Lineage: Eukaryota; Metazoa; Chordata; Mammalia; Primates; Cebidae
Description: tRNA-Lys
Source: RNAcentral